Molecule: long non-coding RNA, 2860 nt
Organism: Homo sapiens (human)
Lineage: Eukaryota; Metazoa; Chordata; Mammalia; Primates; Hominidae
Gene: ACOXL-AS1
Product: ACOXL antisense RNA 1
Source: Ensembl
UGAAUUGUAAUAGUCCAACAAUACAUCUUCCCUGAAAAUGUGCUCUAUUACACCAGUAAUUUCUAAUGAAAAACUUCAUUCUUCACACACUGUGGUUAAGCAUCAUCAAAUCAGUACUGAAAAGACCUUUGAUCGUAUUUGCAAGAUGCACUAAAAUGAACUUUCACUGACCAAGAUUUCAAAGUUUGUAAUUAAUACUCUUGAAAAAUCCCUGACUAAUCUGUCAACUCUCAACGUCUUUAACCACACAGUUCAAAACCAUGAGGUGGCGUACACAGCCCCUAAACUUUCCACAUAUUGUCAUAUGAUUAUUCAAGAUAAUUUUCCCUUUGGGUUUGCAUUAUGAAACUCAACCAACUUUGGUAAUAUAUUCACCGGUGGGGGAAAUACAAUGAUUUGAAUGAGUGUAAAAUAGAGUAUGGGUUUUAUCUAUCUGGUGCCAAAAACAGAACGUAGGGCCAGAGGUAGGAAUUAAAUGAGGCAGAUUUCAAUAUAAAGAAAAUUUUAAAAAAAUAAACUUGAAAAGGAACCCAAUGGCUGGUGAAAAGGAGGGUUUCUUCACUCAUAAGUGUUCAGGGAGUGUGCCCUCCAAUGGCACCCUAGAGAAGAAAAAUGAACUGGCUGUGAAGAGGAGUUGACUGCCAAGAUUCUUUCUAAAUCUAAAGUUCUGGAGCAGUUUAAAAUACUCCUUCUAGCCUUCUCCAUUUUUCCUAGACUGCAACAGAAACCUCAGAAUGAUUAUUGUCUCAAUGGACGGAUCCGGCAUCAUUCCUGUUAGUUAUUGUUUGACUCUUAGUUAUUGUUUGACUCUGAUUCCAGGUACCCACCCACCUCUGUUCCUGGCUGUCAAGAUGAUAAUAAUAAUUACCAUCCUUUCACUCACAAAUGGUAUGCUGGAUUCCUACCCAGUGUUAGGUACAAUUCUGGACUUUAGAGGUUUAAUGGUACACACUACAGGAACAGGUCUCACAUCGUGAAGCUGUUGAGGCGUUUUAAAAAUUUUUAAAAAUAUAUGAUCUCUUUAAUACAAAAUAAACUUGAGAAGAUAAUAUAGCAUUGAUUAUUACACAGUUACAGUAUUUUUAUUACCAGGGGGUAUUUUUAUAUGGGGCUAAGCAGUGUAUUAUUAAAGUUUAGUUUUGUUACCAAACAUGCUUCCAUACUAUAAGCAUAAAAAUUGCACAUAGUGUAGGGGUCCUCUGCCCUGCCAGUUUAUGACCCAUUUAUGCUGGACAAAGUACUUCAAGCUUACCCAUAUCUUUACAAAGAAAAUUCACCAGCUUUUGAAAAAGACAAAUGAAUAGGUAUACUUUAAAAAUAAAAAAGUAUGAACAAGUUAUAGGUUCUUGCAAAAACAUUUUUUAAGGUCAAACCUAAACAUGGGCACUAUUGCUCUACAAGCAAUAAGAAUGUACAGUCCACUGGAAAUAGCCAGUGAGUGGAAUUUGAGAAUAUCUGCUUUAAAGAAAGCAGAAGCACUCAGCCCUCAAGGGAUGACACUGUGUUUGACUAUAUUAAUAUGUAUAUUUGGGAGUGAGGGAAAAAUUGUAACAUCAGUUUGGCUUCCCACCUCCAUCUAGUUGCAGUACUCAAUUUAUUUUUCUGCUCUUUUUGACUCUCCCUACAGUUUCCUUAUUUCAGUUGGGAGAGUAGGAUGGCCAAGGAUGGGCAGUGACUAAGCUUUGCAGUCCUCUGAACAAACCAUAUUUUCCCAGCAUGGCAUGGUGUUAGUCCUAUAAUAGAUGUUCAGGGUGGGAAGUGCCCAGUACACUUGGAGGGACACCCCAGCUAUUCCUAGGACUCCAUGCAGAAGGUUUUCCUGCCUCUUCCCAUAUGUCUCACCCCUGUUCUCAGCAUAAGAUGACCACAUGCUGUUUUUUGUGAAAAAUCCCUUACCCAAACUUGAAAUGUCCCUUCAUUAGCCCCUUUCGUCUGGCUACCUUGGUAGAGUCUUUUUCUCCAUCCCUUUAAUCUGGGCUGAGUUAUGACUUGCUUUGCCAGUAGAAUAUGGGGAACAUGUCACUGUGUGAUUUCCAGAGUUUAGGCCUUAAGAAGCUUUGAAUCCCCCAUUAUCACUCUCCUAUAACCGUGAGAAUACCUGCUGUGCAGAAGCCCAGUCUAGCCUGCUGGAGGACAAAAGGCCACGUAGAGAUGGACCAAGGUGCCUUGGCCAACAGCCAGCACCCACUGCCAGAUAUGAGAGAGAGGCCAUCUUGGACAUCCUAGUCCUGUUGAACUCAGAUGACUGCAGCCACAGGAGUGAUCCCAGUGCCUCACUGCUUCCAGUUGCUGGAGGAUAUGUGGUGCUGCACUGACAAAUGCCUCCACCACUGUGGCAGACGUGUGACCCUUGACGUUCUUCCUAAGUCAGAAUCUGUAUUCUGUGUGUGCCUAGUGUGGAGAACAUGGAUCUGCCCAGCCACACUGGCUCAGAUUCUCUGAGAGGACCAGGGCAGUAAUGGUGCCCAGGAGUACUCUAUGAUGUUGCCACCGGAGGAAGGUGCCAAGGAUAUCGGCUUCAGAGCCAGCUACCAUGUGAAAAGUCCAGCUUGAUGACCUAGAAGGACCUUUACCUGCAGAAGGACAAGGCUUCAACUCUGUUCUGCAGAUUCUCCUUCAGUAAAUUGGGAGUGCCCUUCCACACUGGUCAACAGGCCCCUCCCUGCUGCUUUGGAUCACCACCUUAAGUCAAACACAAUUCAAGUGCCUUCAAAAGAGCAGCACAUGGACUGGCAAAUCGUGACUGGUGAAAAUGGGCACAAUCAAGUAGUUAACCUGCACCUAUUCUCACUUUUUGCAGACUUCCAAACUCGCUGAAUGCACAGAGGCCUUGGCCUGGCUUAUCUCCUCCUCGCUCACU